This 697-nucleotide ribosomal RNA is filed under the name uncultured bacterium. Its description in RNAcentral is "bacterial SSU rRNA". It matches the Rfam family "Bacterial small subunit ribosomal RNA", at positions 135 to 849 of the family's 1533-position model. The record is from RNAcentral.
ACUGGGGGAUAACAGUUAGAAAUAGCUGCUAAUACCGCAUAAGCGCACGGUUCCGCAUGGAACAGUGUGAAAAACUCCGGUGGUGUGAGAUGGACCCGCGUCUGAUUAGCCAGUUGGCGGGGUAACGGCCCACCAAAGCGACGAUCAGUAGCCGGCCUGAGAGGGUGAACGGCCACAUUGGGACUGAGACACGGCCCAAACUCCUACGGGAGGCAGCAGUGGGGAAUAUUGCACAAUGGGGGAAACCCUGAUGCAGCGACGCCGCGUGAGUGAAGAAGUAUUUCGGUAUGUAAAGCUCUAUCAGCAGGGAAGAAAGUGACGGUACCUGAAUAAGAAGCCCCGGCUAACUACGUGCCAGCAGCCGCGGUAAUACGUAGGGGGCAAGCGUUAUCCGGAUUUACUGGGUGUAAAGGGAGCGUAGACGGCAAGGCAAGUCUGAAGUGAAAGCCCGGUGCUUAACGCCGGGACUGCUUUGGAAACUGUUUGGCUGGAGUGCCGGAGGGGUAAGCGGAAUUCCUAGUGUAGCGGUGAAAUGCGUAGAUAUUAGGAAGAACACCAGUGGCGAAGGCGGCUUACUGGACGGUAACUGACGUUGAGGCUCGAAAGCGUGGGGAGCAAACAGGAUUAGAUACCCUGGUAGUCCACGCCGUAAACGAUGAUUGCUAGGUGUAGGUGGGUAUGGACCCAUCAGUGCCGC